Betta splendens (Siamese fighting fish) is the source of this 6616-nucleotide long non-coding RNA. RefSeq lists it as uncharacterized. The record is from RefSeq and is a predicted model, not a curated record. The transcript is spliced from 6 exons. Lineage: Eukaryota; Metazoa; Chordata; Actinopteri; Anabantiformes; Osphronemidae.
CCUACUCAGUCGUUACAUAACAUAACAUAAAAAGUAUAUACGUUUGUAUAAUUAAUAAAUCCAACAUACAAAUAUAGAAUAAUAAUAUUAACAAUACUAAUAAUAGACUUUAUAGCAACUGAGUAUUUACAGAUCUUGCUUGUGUUUCAUUAGUGUAAUAUAAGCCUUAAUAUAUUCAUCCAUGUUGUAUUGAUCCGAACGCAUUGACUGAUUGGCUAUUUGCAGUGUGCUUCACCGUGAUUAGCUUAGUCUGUAGGCCAACGUCCAAUCAUAUUGAAGCGCGGGAAGCGCGGUAUUAUGAUCUACGCUGUAGCUGCUACUGUUUACCUUAUAUUCACGUAAGCUCUUUUUUUCUAUCUCAUGCCGUUCGGCGGGUUUAAUUGAAUUUACCUAAUCCAAGACGGACGCGACGACAUUUUUCCACCAUUAUUUCGGGGGAAUCCCAAAGAGCCCAAACUCCAGCAUGCCAGGAAUGGCCCAUUUGAUGUCAUUCCAGUUUGCAGCAUUGUCCCCCAGCCAGUGACCUGAAUAUUUGCCCACACCUGGAAAGGAGGAGCGGGUCAACAUCAGGGCAGUUCAGACAGGCUGCCAGUCUGGAUGAACCAGGGUGAAGCGACCGCAUAGGCAAUCCUCUGCCCUGAGUGUUCAGGGUUGCUGCUCGCUGGCUGAUGCACUGAACUUCUAACAGUGCAAAGUACCUUAGGAGGCCUUUAUGUGUAUCAUUGCAAUCUGCAUAUUGUUUUCCCAAAUGGAGAUUUAUGCAUAUACUGUAAUACUUCUUCUGUGUCCAUGCAGUAUGUUUUUUUUCUAGUGUUGUUGAAUUUUGCAACAGCCCUGCGGAGCACUGAGGCCGUGCUCACUAAUCGUGCCUCUGCCUGUCAAAUGAACUACUGUAAAAAGAUUAAAGUGAAUGUAAAGGAACUAGCUGAGGCUUCCUGACAAGUGGCAAGACAUAUUUCUGCCACAAUAUUAGAAAAAUUCAUGCCAGACAUGAGGCCACUGUCCAUCACCUGCUCAGCUCAUGCUACUGUUGCUGGUUUCCCUAAAUACAUCCAGUUUCCUGUGACUUUCCUUCAUACAACUGUUCCACAUCGCACUCACAAAUGAGGUCACAAACCUAUAAACGCAUCACUUGAGUCCGACUGGUGGCACCAAAAACUGAUCAUCAGUGAGAUUGAAUCAUUAGCAUAAGUGCAGCAGAGCUUUGGGUUUGCUGUCAGGAAUCCGUGAAAAACAACACAGCUACGUUCAGUCGUCGUAGAGCAUCACCCAGAACAAUUAAACAUGUCACAUGUCAGUCAUGUGUCAUCAAAGCAAUGUGACGGAAGAAAACUGGGAACGCUUGAGACGUAAGUCAUAAUAGGAGAUGACUGUGUAGAGAGAAUGCCAUUAAAACCUUGACACAGUGAGAAGAGAGUAUUUUCUCGUUUUAAAUACAGAAAUGUAGAACCUGCUGUGGAAGAUGAAAUUAAUAUAGGAAUCAAUAUAGUUAAGAGAAUAAGCCAACGCAGCUUCAUUCAGAUAAACACACAUUUUCUGGGGAAGUCCUUCAUACAGUAGUGACUUUAUGACAUGAUAGCUGUGGUGACUGGUCCUGCUGAGACCCAGUGGCUCGGUUUACUUAUCUCCUGCUGAGUCUUGUAAAAAUGGUAGGAUGCAGUUUUUAAUCAUUUUCUGCUUUUAUUUGAACUUUACUUCAUGUUAUGCAUGUGCGGGUGUGGGCUGUUUCAAGUUUAAACUCACCAAUACAUCACUGAUCAUGUUUUGUACCACAGCGAUCCAAUAAAUAAAAGCCACUGCAUUCUUCAUGCUAGAAUAAAAACAUGUGGGUCAAAUGAACACAGUUAAAAAGAACAAAUAAUUUUUUGCACCAUGAGAUUCUGAUUUGCUUUUUAUUUAUUUCUCUUUUUUUGAAUGAAAUCAACGUCCUCAUUUCAAGUUCCAUUAGAUGUUUUAUCUUUUCUCUUCUCUCUCCCCAUCAUCAGGCUGGGAGUCAGGCUGUCCGGGUAGCAACAACGAAUCCCUCCGUUGCCAUGGCAACUCGGAGCGGGUGAACUUUUGUCAGUACUGUAUGAGCCAAACAGACAGACAUAUGGACAAGCUGACUGACAGCCUGGACGGCAGAGCGAUAUACUGGUGAGGUUGGAUACUCAGGAACCGACCCGGAGACCAAGCUGCAAAAAGGACGCUUAACUCCACCCAGACCCGUGAAUCAGCAGGAGACCUCACCCACCGAUCACAUCGGAUUCCCUGCCUGGACUCUCCUGGGCUUGGAGGAGUACUGUACGUAAGGAACUGGGAGCAUACAUGAGGUCAUGAUGCUCGUGACCUUGGCGUUACAGGGCGUGUGCAUGUGCGUUGCUGCAGCGUGGCUCAUGCCGCCUCCUGUUGAUGCCCGGAGAAACCGUCUCGCUGCCUGUUUACGCUCCUCAACUCGAGCGGUUCUUCUUCCCACUCGUCCUCCUUUCCAAAUCCAUCUUUACUUUCUUUGUUCUGCCUUGUAAUAUACAAUUCCCAUAUCUGACGCCUCAUUGUUGUUUCUGUGGGUGUAAAUAACUGACAACGAUUCUUUUCCCCCGUGGAUUCAGAACAAUACUUCAACAGCUUUUCAAAAGAUUCAUCUGAUUAACCUAAUUUACCACAGAAAGUGAAACAGCGAAGUCGCUGACAUUUCAUAACACGCUCAGUAGUUAAACGUGCGAAGCCUCCUCAUGGUCUUAGUUACAGUAUAUCAUUAUGCAUCUCUUCAGCUCUGAAGAGUUGAAGCUGAGAGGCGCUUUAGCUCCGAUCCUGUAUUGUUUCCUUAUAAUACCGGUGGUGAACCAUGGUCUCCAUUAAACACAGCUGCUAGCGUGUACGUGCAGCCCUUGUGUGGUUGCGUACAAAGUUCAGACAAGCAAACCGAACCCCGUGUGCCACUUAAUAAAGCACAAACUCGCUAGCUCUCAUUGACGGUAACACAAGCUGUUCUUACGCUCCUGCACGUGCGCUGCCUUUGUCGUGAGCAUCCCUUUCCUUAAAGUUUCUUGUUGUUCUGCAGUCAAGCAGUCAAGGCCGGCUCUAAUUUCACACUGUGCUGUUUAGAUAAUGGGCUCUCUGCGCUUUGAUAUGGGUGUUUCUGUUACGGCCGAGGGUCAAACCGGACUGAACAAGGUUCUAAAACACGCUCCUUGAGCGGGGAGACAAACUACAAUGGCCACCAAACUGAACUGGGAGGACCCAAAUGCACGACCCAGAGACAGGACUGACGACAAGUGGUUUAAUAAUAAAAAGAACAUAUAGACUGAGGACAAUACAAACUAAGGACGCUGCGUAUGCAGGAUAAACCAGAAAACAAAACAUGCAAACUAACACCUAAAACUCACAGAUAAACUAAAAAUCGCUGCAGAGCAGGAAACUAAAUAACUAUCCUACACACAAAACAUGCAAACAACAGUAUCAAACGUAAUCAGCAAACAAACACACAAACCUGGACAGGACACGAUGGCACGGUAACAAGUGACGAGUAACAAGUAUGAGUAACGCGUAACGAGUAACGAUUAACAAGUAAUGCACCAACCAAGACUGUGCACAAACUGAGACCUUAAAUACCAGACAAGACAGGUGAACCCAAUCAAACUAAUACAGGAAACACAAGACAGGAAACAAGGACACAAAACCAAAAGGGUGAAGCCAGGCUGCCCCUGGUGGCGUGGAAGCCGAGUCACAACAGUUUCGUUCGUUUUCUCAUUCGGCUUUGCUGCUAAACGCACACAGUACAGUGAGAUGAGGACGAGCCCGGUGUGUGUAGAAAGGUGGUGCAGCGUUGUGUAUUUACUGUUUUAUAAAAGUCGCUCAGUCUGAUUAUGUGUCUGUAUAAUUCAUGUUCUGUGUGGAAGGUUAAUUCACUCAGACUUUGUUGUGAUUGUCUAAUUAGUGAUCCAGAGCGGACUUAAAACAGCAGCCAGCGUGAUGAAGGCAUUGACACCUUCUCUUCCUUCCCACAGUCGUUUCUCUUUCUCUUUGUAUUUGUAUUAAUUCCUCCUUCUCUUAAUUAUCUUCAAUAUAACUCAGUUGCCUUCUUUAUGUUGUUUCCUUCUGUUUUGUGUUGAAGCGUAAGGGUUUCUCUUUGUGAUUCUGUUUGUCACUGAUGUCUAACACAAGCCAGAGACACAUGUGGUUGUGCUGUAAUGGAAGUUUUUAUCUAACGUUCCUUCCUUUUCUGGGUGGGAAUUAAUCAUUGUGGUAGCGCUGCAUGACCUGCACAUCGGCAUCAGAGCCCAGUCUCCCAACACAAUUACCUCGGCUGGUGCCACUGUCUUAGUGGUGAGUUGUUCUGGCAGACGGCGCUGUAGGCCAGGUGCUGGUUUCAGAACAUGAGCCAUGCGCGACAUCCGCAGAUGAAUGACAAUUAGUCUGCUCAAAGGCGCUUCAACCGGCGCCGUGCGCGCGGUUCAUCUGCCGAAUUAUUCAUUUUGGGAUUGUUUGUCAAGAAGAGAAUGGAAAAUCAGCUCAGAGAUUUUCAGACUGUGGUUUUCAUCAUUGAACACAUAGAGUGGCGCCCAGUUCCACCAGUUCAACCAGACCACUCCUGUGCGUUUGCCAGGUUAAACCCAGCAGAUGCACACACUCCUAUGGUUCCUUUGGGUUCACUUUGUUUUCUGCGUCUUCAGUGGAUGCUUUUCUCCCGUCUCGCGCUUUAACCCUGUCAUCUGGUGUCUCCCUCUGAUAAUUGCACAUGGCCUCAUCAGUGUUGAAAGCAGCGCUCUCAGGUAAAGUGGGACGCGUGAGGAAGAGGAGGAAAGGAUUUCGCUCGACAGCAGUUUCCCUCUUGAUGUCACUUACAUCACGAUGGGCCAUUUUUCUCCGUCCCUCCGCUGUUUAAGCCGGAUGAAGGCAACGGGCGCGUGUGGAGGAGCAUCAGUACAUUGUAUAGAGCCCAGUUUGUAUAAAUGUGUUAAAGUGCUGUGCUGGGUAUGUCUACACAUGUAUGUGUGUGUGUGUAGAAGUGUGUAAUUCAGUUGAGGUGGCCCAUGGAUAAGUGCCUGUGGCAGUUGGUGAUUACUGUUCGCUUCUUUCACUUUAUCCUCUUUACCUCCCUGCUCCCUCCACUCAAUCACCCGGCGUGUACACACAUUUGCAUGCAGACACACAGGCGCGGACACAUUCUCUUAUCUAAAGUUGUCUACAGGGUCCACUUGCUAUCUGUCAUUAGAAGAUCACAGACACCGCUGUGCGGGUGCGUGGAGUCCCCUCUGUCACAGAUGGAGCCCUUCAGCGCGUCAGCGUCGGCUUUUGUGCUGCGUUUGCUGCGGCCUGACAGUUGUGGAGCUCCACUAAUGCGGAGUUCUGGAGCCCACACCGGGCCCGGAACCCUCGAACCUGCACUUCUGCUUCCUGCCACCAGGCAUCAUGUUAUUCAUGGUCACUACGGGUAAUAAUGAUACGCUGCAGUUCGACGCUUACAGGAAGAUGGUGCUGCAUCUGCAGGGAUACGAGGUUGUAACUUCUCGUUUUUAAAGUUCAAGCUGUCAAAUAGGCCAUACUGUGAUUCUGCUAUAUUUUACAGAGUUAUUGCAGUGUAUUACACUUCUAUAUACAUACUGUAUAUACAUGUUUUCAGUGCUGGCUUUAGGCUGGUGAUGCAAUAAGAACAAUAAAACAAUGCUGGACCAAUAAAAAAAAAAUCUUUGUUCCAAACAGGUCGUGCAGUGCAUUCAGUGUUUUAGCUGUCAUUGCUGUAUCACAUCCCACACAAUGAACCAAACCUAAAAGGAGGCCAUGAGUUUAUUACUUCCUUGUAUAUUCUCGUUUCAACUUUUGUUUAUGUUUUGUCCUCAUAACUUUCUAUAUGAUUCCUUUUAUUCCGGUAUUCCAGUAUUUAGUACUUUUUGUGGCUAAAACGACGUAUAAUAACAUGAGCGUGGCCUCUGUCAGCGUUGGGGUUUUACCUGCUGCUGAGACUCAACUGUGGGAAACCGAAGAACCAAACGGGGUCACCGUCGAGGAGGUUCCUGCCAAAAAGAGAGAGUUUCUCUUCCCAAAAUGACGCACUUCACAUUUAGUCACACUCAAAGCGACUCACACAGCCACAGAGGAGUGUGCGCCCUCUGUCACACACGUUCACAACAUUAUACACUCAAUAGAAUUCACUGGGUUUGACCCUGUGUGUUCUAUUAUUCCUCACUCCUUCCCCACUUUUCCCAGACUCUCUUUGCUCAGGGAAACUAAAUCUGUAAUCAGCUUAGUCGUGUUGAUGCAUCAGACAUUUAUAAUCAGCGGUAUUGAAAAGAGAACAGCUGAGCGCUAAGGCGCUUGGCAAUAGCAAUGAGGAGGAGAGGAUGGAGAGAUAAAGAGGGGGUGAAUGUGUGUUUUUUAACUGCACGUCUCUCCAUUUAUUCCGAGGAUCAAAUUGAAAACCCUUUUUAGGAGCUUUCAGGUCUGCGUCCACACUGUGACGUGAUUUAUGUAGAGAGUCCAGUAAAAUACGUUUAUCUCCAAGGAAACAAUGAUACAGAAAAAAAAUGCCAUUGUUCCUCAGUUACAGAUUUUACAGUAACUGCUGUAGAUUCAGAAUCUGAACAAGUUUCUAAAGUUGGGUAAUGUUUGGACCAAACUUUAGGAAUCUGAGCCCAGA